UACGUAGGGUGCGAGCGUUGUCCGGAAUUAUUGGGCGUAAAGGGCUCGUAGGCGGUCUGUUACGUCAGGAGUGAAAACUCGGGGCUCAACCCCGAGCCUGCUUCUGAUACGGGCAGACUGGAGGUAUGCAGGGGAGAACGGAAUUCCUGGUGUAGCGGUGAAAUGCGUAGAUAUGCGGAGGAACACCGGUGGCGAAGGCGGUUCUCUGGGCAUUACCUGACGCUGAGGAGCGAAAGUGUGGGGAGCGAACAGG
RNAcentral lists this ribosomal RNA (253 nucleotides) under uncultured bacterium. Its description in RNAcentral is "partial 16S ribosomal RNA". It matches the Rfam family "Bacterial small subunit ribosomal RNA", at positions 524 to 776 of the family's 1533-position model. The record is from RNAcentral.